AAAAAUGUCCACUAUCUGCCUCUAUUGAUUGAUACUGGUAUCAUGUCUCUAUCUUACAGCUGAAGAAAGUUAUUACAAAAAAAAGGUUAAUUUUGGACAUGCAAUUCCCUUUUCUAACAGUAGGGGUAAAAACAAUGGUUGUGAAACAUGUCCAAUGUGCCCCUCUAUUGACUGUCACUUGUCUCAUGUCUCCAUCAUCCUGCUGGUGAAAGUUAUUACAAAAAGAAGGAUCAUUUUGGACAUGCAAUUCCCUAAUCAGCCACUUGGAGUAAAAUAAGAGUUUGUGAAAAAUGCCCACUGUCCCCCUCUAUUGAUGGACACCAGUUUUAUGUCUCUAUCUUUCUGCUGAAGAAAGUUAUUACAAAAAGAAAAUUAAUUUUGGACAUACAGUUUCCUAAUCAGCCACUUGGGGUAAAAUAAGAGAUUGUGAAAAAUGUCCACUGUCCCCUUCUAUUGAUUGACACUGGUUUCAUGUCUCUGUCUCCCUGCUGAAGAAAGUUAUUACAAAAAGAAGGUUAAUUUUGGACAUGCAAUUCCCUAAUCAGCCACUUGAGGUAAAAAAGGGGGUUGUGAAAAAUGUCCACUGUCCUCCUCUAUUGACUGACACUGGUUUUAUGUCUCUAUCUUCCUGUAGACCAAAGUUAUUACAAAAAGAAUGUUAAUUUUGGACAUGCAAUUCCCUUUUCUGCCUGUAGGGGUGAAACAGAGGUUGUGAAAAAUGUCCACUGUUCCCCACUAUUGAUUGACACUGUUCUCAUGUCUAUAUGCCCUUUAACUAGAAAGCUAUUACAAAAACACCGCCUACUGAGCUAUAGCAAAAAACGAAGAAAACUUGCACUUUCCACAUGGUCCCUAACUGAAGGCUCUGCUGAGAGAGAGCUCUCCCAGCUUAAUGCACAUUGCGACGGAUUGCACGGGGUCGUGCUUAUGACAUCGAGGGAAAAUAUAGAAAAAGAAGUCUGUGAAACAUGAUCAACUUUGUCCUUUUUACUGCCACCCUGUUUAGUUUUUUUUAGGGCAAUUCGUUU
Molecule: long non-coding RNA, 1028 nt
Organism: Cyprinus carpio carpio
Lineage: Eukaryota; Metazoa; Chordata; Actinopteri; Cypriniformes; Cyprinidae
Source: Ensembl